UCGAACGGUUAAAGCACCUUCGGGUGUGUAUAGAGUGGCGAACGGCUGAGUAACACGUGGGCAACCUGCCCUUUGCAUCGGGACAGCCUCGGGAAACCGUGGUUAAUACCGGAUACUCCAUCUUUCUCACAUGAAAAAGAUGGGAAAGUGUUUAGCGGCAAGGGAUGGGCCCGCGCCCUGUUAGCUUGUUGGUGGGGUAAAAGCCUACCAAGGCAAUGAUGGGUAGCCGGGUUGAGAGACCGACCGGCCAGAUGGGGACUGAGACACGGCCCAGACUCCUACGGGAGGCAGCAGUGGGGAAUCUUGCACAAUGGGCGAAAGCCUGAUGCAGCGACGCCGCGUGCGGGAUGAAGGCCUUCGGGUUGUAAACCGCUUUCAGCAGGGACGAGGCGAAAGUGACGGUACCUGUAGAAGAAGCCCCGGCUAACUACGUGCCAGCAGCCGCGGUAAUACGUAGGGGGCAAGCGUUAUCCGGAUUCAUUGGGCGUAAAGCGCGCGUAGGCUGCCCAGUAGGUCGAGAGUUAAAUCCGGGGGCUCAACCCCCGUCCGCUCCCGAUACCGCUGGGCUUCGAGUCUGGUAGGGGAAGGUGGAAUUCCCAGUGUAGCGGUGGAAUGCGCAGAUAUUGGGAAGAACACCGGUGGCGAAGGCGGCCUUCUGGGCCAUGACUGACGCUGAGGCGCGAAAGCUAGGGUAGCGAACAGGAUU
This 706-nucleotide ribosomal RNA is filed under the name uncultured Olsenella sp. Its description in RNAcentral is "bacterial SSU rRNA". It matches the Rfam family "Bacterial small subunit ribosomal RNA", at positions 62 to 779 of the family's 1533-position model. Lineage: Bacteria; Bacillati; Actinomycetota; Coriobacteriia; Coriobacteriales; Atopobiaceae. The record is from RNAcentral.